ACACCUCAACACAGACAGGUUUUUACAACCUGUUCUGAUGGUUGGAUGUUGAAGGCUUGCUGGUGUUGUUUCACCAGCUCCUUUUAAAUGCAUUAGCAGAUCCGACAGAGACCUGGCUUCAGCCUGAUAAAUCUCUUAUCUAUGUUGCUGUCGCUAGUCAAUUCUUGUUGUGAUCAGCUUCCAAUUGUCCAUAGGACUGUCUCCUUGGAGGCAUACAUUUUGAC
Molecule: unclassified non-coding RNA, 224 nt
Filed under: uncultured Clavariaceae
Lineage: Eukaryota; Fungi; Basidiomycota; Agaricomycetes; Agaricales; Clavariaceae
Description: sequence contains ITS2
Source: RNAcentral